Gorilla gorilla gorilla (western lowland gorilla) is the source of this 403-nucleotide long non-coding RNA. RefSeq lists it as uncharacterized. NCBI's taxonomy places the organism in Eukaryota, Metazoa, Chordata, Mammalia, Primates, Hominidae. The transcript has 4 exons. The record is from RefSeq and is a predicted model, not a curated record.
GUCUCUGCUCCUCGGGCGGCCUUGAGCAGUGCCCAACGUUGAGCGUGAGGCUCGUGCUCCGGGUCUCGCGGGCGGCCGCCUCGGGCGUCGAGUCCCGGAGAUUGGACAGACACCAGAGCCCGGGGACCGCGGAGUGACCGGGUGGGGCUGGAGGGCGGCGCCGCGCCUUCUGGGGAGACGCGGAGGUAUCAGGACCUGGGCUAUGCUCCUGAUUUUAUACAGACUGCCAUGGCUCCAGAUAUAAAAGACCAAAUAAAAAGAUGGGGGAGAGGGAGGAACCAAGAUGGCUGACCAGAAGCAGCUGCAGUUGGAGACUCCCACCAAGGAGAAGGAAAAAGAGACAGCAUCUCCCUAUAUUGUGCAGGCUGGCCUCAAGAGAUCCUCCCACCUCGGCCACCCAAGG